UGGAUAAGAGCUGAAAGCAUCUAAGCUCGAAGCCUCUCCCGAAAAGAGGCAGCCAUUCCAGUUUCACUGGACGAAGGCACCCAUAAAAGAUGGGUUUGAUGGAGCCGGGGUGUAAAUCAGAAGACUUCGGUCGACUGGUUCAGCCCGCGGCCACCAAUCGCCUGAGAUGUCGAGUCA
RNAcentral lists this ribosomal RNA (177 nucleotides) under Nitrososphaerota archaeon. Its description in RNAcentral is "partial 23S ribosomal RNA". It matches the Rfam family "Archaeal large subunit ribosomal RNA", at positions 2828 to 2987 of the family's 2987-position model. The record is from RNAcentral. Lineage: Archaea; Thermoproteati; Nitrososphaerota.